UUGGUGACCAUAGAGUUAUUGGAGGACCCCGGUGACGCCUUGGAGGACCUCGAUGGUGAUCAUAGAGUGCUUGGAGGACCUUGUUGAGGCCUUGGAGGACCUCGAUUGUGAUCAUAGAGUGCUUGGAGGACCAUAGAGAUGCCAUGGAGGACCUCGAUGGCGAUCAUAGAGUUGUUGGAGGACCCCAGUGACACUUUGGAGGACCUCGAUGAUCAUAGAGUUGUUGGAGGACCCAAGUGAGGCCUUGGAGGACCCCAGUGAAACUUGGAGGACCUCAGCUGUGACCAUAGA
Molecule: long non-coding RNA, 291 nt
Filed under: Coturnix japonica (Japanese quail)
Lineage: Eukaryota; Metazoa; Chordata; Aves; Galliformes; Phasianidae
Description: lncRNA (ENSCJPG00005002364.1)
Source: RNAcentral